Molecule: ribosomal RNA, 534 nt
Filed under: Aspergillus tamarii
Lineage: Eukaryota; Fungi; Ascomycota; Eurotiomycetes; Eurotiales; Aspergillaceae
Description: eukaryotic LSU rRNA
Rfam family: 5.8S ribosomal RNA (bases 211-364)
Source: RNAcentral
GUAGGUGAACCUGCGGAAGGAUCAUUACCGAGUGUAGGGUUCCUAGCGAGCCCAACCUCCCACCCGUGUUUACUGUAACCUUAGUUGCUUCGGCGGGCCCGCCUUUAAGGCCGCCGGGGGGCAUCAGCCCCCGGGCCCGCGCCCGCCGGAGACACCACGAACUCUGUCUGAUCUAGUGAAGUCUGAGUUGAUUGUAUCGCAAUCAGUUAAAACUUUCAACAAUGGAUCUCUUGGUUCCGGCAUCGAUGAAGAACGCAGCGAAAUGCGAUAACUAGUGUGAAUUGCAGAAUUCCGUGAAUCAUCGAGUCUUUGAACGCACAUUGCGCCCCCUGGUAUUCCGGGGGGCAUGCCUGUCCGAGCGUCAUUGCUGCCCAUCAAGCACGGCUUGUGUGUUGGGUCGUCGUCCCCUCUUCGGGGGGGACGGGCCCCAAAGGCAGCGGCGGCACCGCGUCCGAUCCUCGAGCGUAUGGGGCUUUGUCACCCGCUCUGUAGGCCCGGCCGGCGCUUGCCGAACGCAAAACAACCAUUCUUUCC